CCAACAAACGAGAUAAUCAGUGUAUGAUAGUGAUGGAAGU
Molecule: non-coding RNA, 40 nt
Filed under: Trypanosoma brucei brucei
Lineage: Eukaryota; Euglenozoa; Kinetoplastea; Trypanosomatida; Trypanosomatidae
Source: RNAcentral